This 906-nucleotide ribosomal RNA is filed under the name uncultured prokaryote. Its description in RNAcentral is "bacterial SSU rRNA". It matches the Rfam family "Bacterial small subunit ribosomal RNA", at positions 560 to 1453 of the family's 1533-position model. The record is from RNAcentral.
GUAAAGGGUUCGUAGGCGGACUGAUAAGUUGGAAUUGAAAGACCACGGCUUAACCGGGGGAACGGUUUCAAUACUGUCAGUCUUGAGUGAGGUAGAGGUAAGCGGAAUUCCUGGUGUAGCGGUGAAAUGCGUAGAUAUCAGGAGGAACAUCAAAGGCGAAGGCAGCUUACUGGGCCUAUACUGACGCUGAGGAACGAAAGCGUGGGGAGCAAACAGGAUUAGAGACCCUGGUAGUCCACGCCGUAAACGAUGAGUACUUAGUGAUGGGGGAUUCGACCCCUUCAUUGCUGGAGCUAACGCAUUAAGUACUCCGCCUGGGAACUACGACCGCAAGGUUGAAACUCAAAGGAAUUGACGGGGACCCGCACAAGCGGUGGAUCAUGUGGUUUAAUUCGAUGCAACGCGAAGAACCUUACCUAGGCUUGACAUGUUAGUGAAAACUCUGUGAAAGCAGAGCUCUCUGCGAGCUUGCUCAAAGACACUAUCACAGGUGAUGCAUGGCUGUCGUCAGCUCGUGUCGUGAGAUGUUCGGUUAAGUCCGAUAACGAGCGCAACCCCUAUUCUUAGUUGCCAGCACGUAAUGGUGGGGACUCUAAGAAAACUGCCCGGGAUAACCGGAAGGAAGGUGGGGUCGACGUCAAGUCAGUAUGUCCCUUACGCCUAGGGCUACACACGUGAUACAAUGGGAAGUACAAAGGGUUGCAAUACCGCGAGGUGGAGCCAAUCCCAAAAAACUUCCCCAAGUUCAGAUUGCAGUCUGCAACUCGACUGCAUGAAGCAGGAAACGCUAGUAAUCGUGGAUCAGAACGCCACGGUGAAUACGUUCCCGGGUCUUGUACACACCGCCCGUCACGCCAUGGAAGCCGGUAGUGCCCAACGCCAGUGUCCCAACCUUCGGGAGGGAGC